This 1294-nucleotide ribosomal RNA is filed under the name Ophiognomonia rosae. RNAcentral's name for it is "partial large subunit ribosomal RNA". It matches the Rfam family "Eukaryotic large subunit ribosomal RNA", at positions 71 to 1397 of the family's 3401-position model. Lineage: Eukaryota; Fungi; Ascomycota; Sordariomycetes; Diaporthales; Gnomoniaceae. The record is from RNAcentral.
GGGAUUGCUUAGUAACGGCGAGUGAAGCGGCAACAGCUCAAAUUGAAAUCUGGCUUCGGCCCCGAGUUGUAAUUUGCAGAGGAUGUUUAUGGUGCGGUACCUUCCGAGUUCCCUGGAACGGGACGCCACAGAGGGUGAGAGCCCCGUCUGGUUGGAUACCAAACCUGUGUUAAACUCCUUCAACGAGUCGAGUAGUUUGGGAAUGCUGCUCUAAAUGGGAGGUAAAUCUCUUCUAAAGCUAAAUAUUGGCCAGAGACCGAUAGCGCACAAGUAGAGUGAUCGAAAGAUGAAAAGCACCUUGAAAAGGGGGUUAAACAGUACGUGAAAUUGUUGAAAGGGAAGCGUUUAUGACCAGACUUGUGCCGUGUGGCUCAUCCGAGGUUCUCCCCGGUGCACUCCACACGGCUCAGGCCAACAUCGGUUUUCGCUGGGGGAUAAGAACAGUAGGAACGUAGCUCCCCUCGGGGAGUGUUAUAGCCUAUUGUACGAUACCCUGGCGGGGACCGAGGACCGCGCUUCGGCUAGGAUGUUGGCGUAAUGGUCAUUAGCGACCCGUCUUGAAACACGGACCAAGGAGUCGUCCAUUAGAGCGAGCGUUUGGGUGUAAAACCCGCACGCGUAAUGAAAGUGAAAUUAGGUGAGAGCUUCGGCGCAUCAUCGACCGAUCCUGAAGUUUACGGAUGGAUUUGAGUAAGAGUUUUAACGGACGGACCCGAAAGACAGUGAACUAUGCUUGAAUAGGGUGAAGCCAGAGGAAACUCUGGUGGAGGCUCGCAGCGGUUCUGACGUGCAAAUCGAUCGUCAAAUUUGAGCAUGGGGGCGAAAGACUAAUCGAACUGUCUAGUAGCUGGUUACCGCCGAAGUUUCCCUCAGGAUAGCAGUGUUGACCUUCAGUUUUAUGAGGUAAAGCGAAUGAUUAGGGACUCGGGGGCGCUUAUUAGCCUUCAUCCAUUCUCAAACUUUAAAUAUGUAAGAAGCCCUUGUUACUUAAUUGAACGUGGGCAUUCGAAUGUACCAACACUAGUGGGCCAUUUUUGGUAAGCAGAACUGGCGAUGCGGGAUGAACCGAACGGGGGGUUAAGGCGCCAGAAUGUACGCUCAUCAGACACCACAAAAGGCGUUAGUACAUCUUGACAGCAGGACGGUGGCCAUGGAAGUCGGAAUCCGCUAAGGACUGUGUAACAACUCACCUGCCGAAUGUACUAGCCCUGAAAAUGGAUGGCGCUCAAGCGUACUGCCCAUACCCCCCCUUCAGGGUAGAAACGAUGCCCUGAAGAGUAGGCGGCCGUGGAGG